GAUCAUUACUGAUUUGCUUAAUUGCACCACAUGUGUUUUUCUUUGAAACAAACUUGCUUUGGCGGUGGGCCCAGCCUGCCGCCAGAGGUCUAAACUUACAACCAAUUUUUUAUCAACUUGUCACACCAGAUUAUUACUUAAUAGUCAAAACUUUCAACAACGGAUCUCUUGGUUCUCGCAUCGAUGAAGAACGCAGCGAAAUGCGAUACGUAAUAUGAAUUGCAGAUAUUCGUGAAUCAUCGAAUCUUUGAACGCACAUUGCGCCCUCUGGUAUUCCGGAGGGCAUGCCUGUUUGAGCGUCGUUUCUCCCUCAAACCGCUGGGUUUGGUGUUGAGCAAUACGACUUGGGUUUGCUUGAAAGACGGUAGUGGUAAGGCGGGAUCGCUUUGACAAUGGCUUAGGUCUAACCAAAAACAUUGCUUGCGGCGGUAACGUCUACCACGUAUAUCUUCAAACUUUGACCUCAAAUCAGG
RNAcentral lists this unclassified non-coding RNA (473 nucleotides) under Candida albicans. RNAcentral's name for it is "sequence contains 18S rRNA gene, ITS1, 5.8S rRNA gene, ITS2, 28S rRNA gene". The stretch from base 149 to 302 matches the Rfam family "5.8S ribosomal RNA". The record is from RNAcentral. Lineage: Eukaryota; Fungi; Ascomycota; Pichiomycetes; Serinales; Debaryomycetaceae.